AGUUUGACUAGAGCCAAUGAACGCCUGAGC
Molecule: non-coding RNA, 30 nt
Filed under: Rattus norvegicus (Norway rat)
Lineage: Eukaryota; Metazoa; Chordata; Mammalia; Rodentia; Muridae
Source: RNAcentral